RNAcentral lists this unclassified non-coding RNA (334 nucleotides) under soil metagenome. RNAcentral describes it as "partial contains 5.8S ribosomal RNA, internal transcribed spacer 2, and large subunit ribosomal RNA". The stretch from base 1 to 120 matches the Rfam family "5.8S ribosomal RNA", at positions 35 to 154 of the family's 154-position model. The record is from RNAcentral.
GAUGAAGAACGUAGCGAAAUGCGAUAAGUAAUGUGAAUUGCAGAAUUCAGUGAAUCAUCGAAUCUUUGAACGCACAUUGCGCCCGCCAGUAUUCUGGCGGGCAUGCCUGUUCGAGCGUCAUUUCAACCAUCAAGCCCCAGGCUUGUGUUGGAGCCCUGCGGCUGCCGCAGCCUCCCAAAACCAGUGGCGGGCUCGCUAUCACACCGAGUGCAGUAGUUUACUCUUCGCUCAGGGCGUGUGGCGGGUGCUAGCCGUAAAACCCCCAACUUCUCAAGGUUGACCUCGUAUCAGGUAGGAAUACCCGCUGAACUUAAGCAUAUCAAUAAGCCGAGGA